This is a non-coding RNA of Leucoraja erinaceus (little skate), 939 nucleotides long. The record is from the annotation of a RefSeq genome assembly. Lineage: Eukaryota; Metazoa; Chordata; Chondrichthyes; Rajiformes; Rajidae.
GAAUUCUGCAGAAUGACCAGCGGCUCCGUGUGAUCCGUGUCUCGGCACUUCCUUCACCAAAAUCAAAAUGUCAUCGUUUGCAAAAUUAAUCUACACACUCUGCCUCUUUCUCCCAGGGUCCGCUGUCGGUGUGAGGGUGAACCAGUCUCCUGCUGCUCUGACACGUCUCCGAGGACAGACAGCUACGUUCACCUGCUCCCUGCUACCUGGAGAGGGGGAGAUAGUUUCAAUGAGGGAAUUCUGGUUUCGGACGAAAGACAACCCGGAGCUCAGGGACAACAAGACCAAGAGUUUUCUGAAGACAGGCGACCGACUGUCCGUGUCUGUGGGCUCGCUGGUCAUUCGGGAGGUGACUGUGCACGAUGCAGACACUUACCAUUGUGUGGUACUGAUUGGUGAUACAUUGCCCUGGAAAACGUUUACAGGAAACGGAACCACAUUACAUAUCCAAGGUAAUUAAUAUAAUAAUAAACAGGAACAGGCCCUUCAGCCCACAAUGUUCGUGCGGCCCAUGAGGCCAAGUUAAACAAACAUGUGUCUAUCCAAAAGUCUCUUAAACUCUACGAUCGAAUCUGCCUCCACAGCCACCCCGAGAUCUGAUGCGAUGGAGUUGGUGAAUCACACGAAUCCCAAGUUCCCCAACCCGAAACGCCGCCUGUCCAUUCUCUCCACAGAUGCGGCCUUAACCGCUGAGUUCCUCCAGCAUUUUGUGUUUUGCUUAAGACUGCAGCGCCUGCAGUUCCAUGUCUCUACUUCUAUUUCAUUCCUGCAUUUCAUCUCUCUCUAUUAAUGCUCAUUUUCCGGCACAAACCAGCCCAGUCUGACAAAAGGUCCCGAACUUAAACGUCAUAUAUCCAUGAUUUCCAGAGAUGCUGCCUGACCCGCUGAGUUACUCCAGCGCUUUGAGUCUAUCUUUGGUAAAAAUAAACCUCGCAUCUA